AUAAAGUUAGUUUAAAUAAAAUGAUAAGUUGUGGUCUUAUAGUUAAAUAUAUAAAAAUUUACUUUAUU
RNAcentral lists this transfer RNA (68 nucleotides) under Sepiella inermis (spineless cuttlefish). RNAcentral describes it as "tRNA-His". The record is from RNAcentral. Lineage: Eukaryota; Metazoa; Mollusca; Cephalopoda; Sepiida; Sepiidae.